GACGAACGCUGGCGGCGUGCCUAAUACAUGCAAGUAGAACGCUGAAGAGAGGAGCUUGCUCUUCUUGAGUGAGUUGCGAACGGGUGAGUAACGCGUAGGUAACCUGCCUUGUAGCGGGGGAUAACUAUUGGAAACGAUAGCUAAUACCGCAUAACAAUGGGUGACACAUGUCAUUUAUUUGAAAGGGGCAAUUGCUCCACUACAAGAUGGACCUGCGUUGUAUUAGCUAGUAGGUGAGGUAACGGCUCACCUAGGCGACGAUACAUAGCCGACCUGAGAGGGUGAUCGGCCACACUGGGACUGAGACACGGCCCAGACUCCUACGGGAGGCAGCAGUAGGGAAUCUUCGGCAAUGGGGGCAACCCUGACCGAGCAACGCCGCGUGAGUGAAGAAGGUUUUCGGAUCGUAAAGCUCUGUUGUAAGUCAAGAACGAGUGUGAGAGUGGAAAGUUCACACUGUGACGGUAGCUUACCAGAAAGGGACGGCUAACUACGUGCCAGCAGCCGCGGUAAUACGUAGGUCCCGAGCGUUGUCCGGAUUUAUUGGGCGUAAAGCGAGCGCAGGCGGUUUGAUAAGUCUGAAGUUAAAGGCUGUGGCUCAACCAUAGUUCGCUUUGGAAACUGUCAAACUUGAGUGCAGAAGGGGAGAGUGGAAUUCCAUGUGUAGCGGUGGAAUGCGUAGAUAUAUGGAGGAACACCGGUGGCGAAAGCGGCUCUCUGGUCUGUAACUGACGCUGAGGCUCGAAAGCGUGGGGAGCGAACAGG
Molecule: ribosomal RNA, 765 nt
Filed under: uncultured Streptococcus sp.
Lineage: Bacteria; Bacillati; Bacillota; Bacilli; Lactobacillales; Streptococcaceae
Description: bacterial SSU rRNA
Rfam family: Bacterial small subunit ribosomal RNA
Source: RNAcentral